UACGUAGGGUGCGAGCGUUGUCCGGAAUUAUUGGGCGUAAAGAGCUCGUAGGCGGUUUGUCGCGUCGGCCGUGAAAACUUGGGGCUUAACCCCAAGCCUGCGGUCGAUACGGGCAGACUUGAGUUCGGCAGGGGAGACUGGAAUUCCUGGUGUAGCGGUGAAAUGCGCAGAUAUCAGGAGGAACACCGGUGGCGAAGGCGGCGACCUGGGUCGAGACUGACGCUGAGGCGCGAAAGCGUGGGGAGCAAACAGG
RNAcentral lists this ribosomal RNA (253 nucleotides) under uncultured bacterium. Its description in RNAcentral is "partial 16S ribosomal RNA". It matches the Rfam family "Bacterial small subunit ribosomal RNA", at positions 524 to 776 of the family's 1533-position model. The record is from RNAcentral.